CCUACGGGAGGCAGCAGUAGGGAAUUUUCGUCAAUGGGCGCAAGCCUGAACGAGCGAUGCCGCGUGAGUGAAGAAGGCCUUCGGGUCGUAAAGCUCUGUUGCGGGGGAAAAAAGGCAGCAUCAGGAAAUGGGUGCUGACUGAUGGUGCCCCGCCAGAAAGUCACGGCUAACUACGUGCCAGCAGCCGCGGUAAUACGUAGGUGGCGAGCGUUAUCCGGAAUGAUUGGGCGUAAAGGGUGCGCAGGCGGUCCUGCAAGUCUGGAGUGAAACGCAUGAGCUCAACUCAUGCGUGGCUUUGGAAACUGGAGGACUGGAGAGCAGGAGAGGGCGGUGGAACUCCAUGUGUAGCGGUGAAAUGCGUAGAUAUAUGGAAGAACACCAGUGGCGAAGGCGGCCGCCUGGCCUGUUGCUGACGCUGAGGCACGAAAGCGUGGGGAGCAAAUAGGAUUAGAUACCCUUGUAGUC
RNAcentral lists this ribosomal RNA (465 nucleotides) under uncultured bacterium. Its description in RNAcentral is "partial 16S ribosomal RNA". It matches the Rfam family "Bacterial small subunit ribosomal RNA", at positions 338 to 795 of the family's 1533-position model. The record is from RNAcentral.